CUUGUUCAUGCUUCCCUUUGUGUUUUUGUAUACCAAAUACUUAGCAGUCAAUAAACUUGUGAGGAUGAUGAAAACUGGAAAAAAAACAGUGAGAAAAACAGAAAGAAAGGAUCGCAGAUCAAACAUGACUGAGAAAUGAGACACAAUUUAUGCUCGCCUCCGACUCGGUUCUGUUCGUGCUUUUGUGGGUAUGGAGUUGCUGUGGACCGGAAGAGAGCGAAGAAAGCUCAUCUAGGGCGGGGGUGGCAAGGGGAGUAUGUGGCAGAGGGAACAAGGCCAGAAACCCACAGGCUAAUUUAUGGGGAAGAUAGAGGAUGCUCAGCGUAGUGGAUCUUCUGAAAUGUAAAUGGCAGUGGGAUAAAUAAGUAUAUAUUUGAGGCUGCAAAAAGACAGCCUCUGAAGCUAAUGACAACAUAAUGAUCAAAGAUAUCAGCGUGGUCUGAAAAGCUAACAGCCUAUGUCUCGAUAGUGACAGCCUCUCCCAUUGCCGCCGAGAAGCUCCAGAAUUAAUCUUGACAAAAUUGUGGUAAAAAAUUGAUUAAAGUAUAAAAUGACUCUGCUUGCUUUCUCUUUCUUAUUUUAUUCCACUUUCCAGGUUGAACAAAAAAGCCUCAUAUACAAAUCCCCAAUUCACAUAGGAACUGGGAAUGCGAGUAACGUCUUCACUUCUGUGAGCCUGUUAUUAGGACGCCACGCCUGGAUCCACGUCUUUGAUGUGUCCACUGAAGAGCUGCAACCAGGUCAUAAAAUAGGUCAAUUUUUAAAAUAUAUGUCUUAUAGGUCAGAUGUAUUUUAAAAUGGCAAAAUUGAGGUCAGAUGCAUGAGUCAUUGUGCAUUUUUUUACUUUUGAAUUCUGCCUCUAAGAACGAGGCAAUCUAUAUCUCAAAUCAAAUUUAUUUGCAUAGGGAAGUUCAGGUUCUUGUCUACUCCCUCCUCAUUCUCCAUUUGUGAACAUGCAACUAUGAAGUUAAAUUCCCUUUCCUUAAUAUUUUUCUAGGGUAAAUACUGUCACGUUGUAAGUUUCUUUAUUUAUGUCAUUCAUUAAAUUAGCCAGUUCCGUGUGUCAGACAUGGGGUUAGUCACCUACGGCAUCAGCUAGGGUCCCCAAAGACACAGUAGGCUCUGCCAAGGAGUAAGG
RNAcentral lists this long non-coding RNA (1138 nucleotides) under Callithrix jacchus (white-tufted-ear marmoset). Its description in RNAcentral is "lncRNA (ENSCJAG00000064323.2)". The record is from RNAcentral. Lineage: Eukaryota; Metazoa; Chordata; Mammalia; Primates; Cebidae.